RNAcentral lists this ribosomal RNA (1503 nucleotides) under Klebsiella pneumoniae. RNAcentral describes it as "bacterial SSU rRNA". It matches the Rfam family "Bacterial small subunit ribosomal RNA". The record is from RNAcentral. Lineage: Bacteria; Pseudomonadati; Pseudomonadota; Gammaproteobacteria; Enterobacterales; Enterobacteriaceae.
AGAGUUUGAUCAUGGCUCAGAUUGAACGCUGGCGGCAGGCCUAACACAUGCAAGUCGAGCGGUAGCACAGAGAGCUUGCUCUCGGGUGACGAGCGGCGGACGGGUGAGUAAUGUCUGGGAAACUGCCUGAUGGAGGGGGAUAACUACUGGAAACGGUAGCUAAUACCGCAUAAUGUCGCAAGACCAAAGUGGGGGACCUUCGGGCCUCAUGCCAUCAGAUGUGCCCAGAUGGGAUUAGCUAGUAGGUGGGGUAACGGCUCACCUAGGCGACGAUCCCUAGCUGGUCUGAGAGGAUGACCAGCCACACUGGAACUGAGACACGGUCCAGACUCCUACGGGAGGCAGCAGUGGGGAAUAUUGCACAAUGGGCGCAAGCCUGAUGCAGCCAUGCCGCGUGUGUGAAGAAGGCCUUCGGGUUGUAAAGCACUUUCAGCGGGGAGGAAGGCGGUGAGGUUAAUAACCUCAUCGAUUGACGUUACCCGCAGAAGAAGCACCGGCUAACUCCGUGCCAGCAGCCGCGGUAAUACGGAGGGUGCAAGCGUUAAUCGGAAUUACUGGGCGUAAAGCGCACGCAGGCGGUCUGUCAAGUCGGAUGUGAAAUCCCCGGGCUCAACCUGGGAACUGCAUUCGAAACUGGCAGGCUAGAGUCUUGUAGAGGGGGGUAGAAUUCCAGGUGUAGCGGUGAAAUGCGUAGAGAUCUGGAGGAAUACCGGUGGCGAAGGCGGCCCCCUGGACAAAGACUGACGCUCAGGUGCGAAAGCGUGGGGAGCAAACAGGAUUAGAUACCCUGGUAGUCCACGCCGUAAACGAUGUCGAUUUGGAGGUUGUGCCCUUGAGGCGUGGCUUCCGGAGCUAACGCGUUAAAUCGACCGCCUAGGGAGUACGGCCGCAAGGUUAAAACUCAAAUGAAUUGACGGGGGCCCGCACAAGCGGUGGAGCAUGUGGUUUAAUUCGAUGCAACGCGAAGAACCUUACCUGGUCUUGACAUCCACAGAACUUUCCAGAGAUGGAUUGGUGCCUUCGGGAACUGUGAGACAGGUGCUGCAUGGCUGUCGUCAGCUCGUGUUGUGAAAUGUUGGGUUAAGUCCCGCAACGAGCGCAACCCUUAUCCUUUGUUGCCAGCGGUCCGGCCGGGAACUCAAAGGAGACUGCCAGUGAUAAACUGGAGGAAGGUGGGGAUGACGUCAAGUCAUCAUGGCCCUUACGACCAGGGCUACACACGUGCUACAAUGGCAUAUACAAAGAGAAGCGACCUCGCGAGAGCAAGCGGACCUCAUAAAGUAUGUCGUAGUCCGGAUUGGAGUCUGCAACUCGACUCCAUGAAGUCGGAAUCGCUAGUAAUCGUAGAUCAGAAUGCUACGGUGAAUACGUUCCCGGGCCUUGUACACACCGCCCGUCACACCAUGGGAGUGGGUUGCAAAAGAAGUAGGUAGCUUAACCUUCGGGAGGGCGCUUACCACUUUGUGAUUCAUGACUGGGGUGAAGUCGUAACAAGGUAACCGU